CCUCCAAAAGUUCUUGUGACUUUUAGUCCCUAGAACUACUUUUCAAGAGACUAAAAGGUUCCUUCAGCCCACUGUUGUCUGCAUUUUCACCGCGGUCUAAAGACCUGUGAAGAUUAGACAAAUUAUUCUGCGACGUAUGAAAAAGCAACAUGACGUGAGACGAGGGCUGCUGG
Molecule: long non-coding RNA, 173 nt
Organism: Sebastes umbrosus (honeycomb rockfish)
Lineage: Eukaryota; Metazoa; Chordata; Actinopteri; Perciformes; Sebastidae
Exons: 3
Source: RefSeq, a predicted model, not a curated record